GAAAGUAAAGAAGGGCGUAUGGCGGAUGCCUAGGCUCUCGGAGGCGAAGAAGGACGUGAUAAGCUGCGAUAAGCUGCGGCGAGGAGCAAAUAUCCUGUGACCCGCAGAUUUCCGAAUGGGGCAACCCGGCAGGACCACCUGUCAUCCCGGGAAACGGGAAGCAAACGUGGGGAACUGAAACAUCUCAUUACCCACAGGAAAAGAAAAUAACAAUGAUUCCGUCAGUAGUGGCGAGCGAAAGCGGAAGAGCCCAAACCGGUUCUGUUUCGGCAGAGCCGGGGUAGAAGGACUGCAUAUGACAAAGGAGCAGGUAGCCGAACGGUCUGGAAAGGCCGGUCAAAGACGGUGAUAACCCGGUAGGCGAAACCAGCGACAGCGACAGCAGUAUCCUGAGUAGUGCGGGACACGAGAAAUCCUGUAUGAAUCCGCGGGGACCAUCCCGUAAGGCUAAAUACUCCCGAGAGACCGAUAGCGAACCAGUACUGUGAAGGAAAGGUGAAAAGAACCUCGAACAGAGGAGUGAAAAAGACCCUGAAACCAUACGCCUACAAGCGGUCGGAGCCCCUACGUGGGGUGACGGCGUGCCUUUUGCAUAAUGAACCUACGAGUUACUUUUGCCAGCCAGGUUAAUCGAUUCAGUCGAGGAGCCGAAGCGAAAGCGAGUCUUAAUAGGGCGGUAUAAGUUGGCAGGAGUAGACGCGAAACCAAGUGAUCUACCCAUGAGCAGGUUGAAGGUUAGGUAACACUAACUGGAGGACCGCACCGGUAAACGUUGAAAAGUUUUCGGAUGACUUGUGGGUAGGGGUGAAAGGCUAAUCAAACUUGGAGAUAGCUCGUACUCCCCGAAAUGCAUUUAGGUGCAGCCUUCUGAAUAUAUUUAAGAGGUAGAGCGACUGAUAAGAUGCGAGGGCUUCACCGCCUAUCAAGUCUUGAUAAACUCCGAAUGCUUAAAUAUGAAUCAGAGGAGUGAGGGCAUGGGUGCUAAGGUCCAUGUCCGAGAGGGAAAUAACCCAGACCACCGGCUAAGGUCCCGAAAUAACGGCUAAGUUGAAUUAACGAAGUAGAAUUGCAAAGACAGCUAGGAUGUUGGCUUGGAAGCAGCCAUUCAUUUAAAGAGUGCGUAACAGCUCACUAGUCGAGGAGUUCUGCGUGGAUAAUAAUCGGGCAUAAGCCGUUUACCGAAGCUGUGGAAUUGGCAACAAUUGGUAGGGGAGCAUUCCAUAAGCCGCAGAAGGUUUUCCUUGAGGAAUGCUGGAGGUAAUGGAAAAGCAAAUGUAGGUAUAAGUAACGAUAAAGAGGGCGAGAACCCCUCUCGCCGAAAGACCAAGGGUUCCUGAUCAACGCUAAUCGGAUCAGGGUAAGUCGGGCCCUAAGGCGCAGCCGAACGGCGCAGCCGAUGGCAGAAACGGUUAAUAUUCCGUUACUAUGAUACGGAGUGACGAGGAGACGGAGAAGUGACACUCUCGCCUGCUGACGGAAUAGCAGGUUGAACGGAGUAGAUAAUGACAUGGUAGGCAAAUCCGCCGUGACAGUCGAACCGGAUAGUACUGGGCGCCCCCGGGCAACCAGAUAGUAGAGGUAAUCAGGCUCCCGAGAAAAUCCCCUAAACAUAUGCGUAUCAUACCCGUACCCUAAACGGACACACGUGGUUGAGUAGAAAAUACUAAGGCGCUCGAGCGACUCACGGUUAAGGAACUAGGCAAAUUGACCCUGUAACUUCGGGACAAAGGGUCCCUCCCUCCGGGGAGGGCGCAGAGAAUAGGUCCAGGCAACUGUUUAACAAAAACACAGGGCUGUGCGAAAUUGAAAGAUGAAGUAUACAGCCUGACACCUGCCCGGUGCUGGAAGGUUAAGAGGAGAUGUCAUCGCAAGAGAAGCGUUGAAUUGAAGCCCCAGUAAACGGCGGCCGUAACUAUAACGGUCCUAAGGUAGCGAAAUUCCUUGUCG
Molecule: ribosomal RNA, 1947 nt
Filed under: human gut metagenome
Description: bacterial LSU rRNA
Rfam family: Bacterial large subunit ribosomal RNA
Source: RNAcentral